CUCCAUGAGCACUUUCCUUGGGAUCUCUAAUCAAUAGAAUCCUUUUCACUGGAAAUGGAUAUUUAGGUCUUUUUAUCGCCGGUAUUGGUUGACCCUUUUUACAAUUAAUGAAAGAACAAAAAAGAAUACAAUCAAAUUGAGUUAAUCAAAAGUAAUCAAUUGAUUAACAAUUAACAACAAAACAUUCACAUGAAGGAAAUUAAAUGAAAAUGGACAAGCAAGUGGAGGGAAAAAAACAGUUACCAUGGAAACGAAGACAAAGAAAAAAAUUUUCUUUAAUCAAUUUGAUCAAUUUAAUUCAUUUUUCUUUUUUAAUUUCUAAUUGAUUUUAAUCUAUUCUUUUUUGCAGUUAAUUAAAUUUUCCAUUAGCUAAUUGUUCUGAUGUGAUUUAGAAGUUUCAACUUUUCAAUUGACUUUCUUUUCUUGGAUUUGGAUUGACCUUGUUGGUUCAUUUUUUUCUACUUGUUUGUUUUUCUAUUGUUCCGAUUUUCAGUGAUUUAAAUUGAUUAAAUCAUUGGGAGAAUUUAUUAAUUUUUUUUUCUCUUCGAAAGUGGUAAGGUAACACUUAUUAAGGGAAUCAAGUGGAUGUUUAAUUGGUUGCGGUGGUGGAACCAAAAUGGAUUAGGAUUAACGUUGUUUCCGUUGGUUAGUAACAACCUUAUGAGUAAUUUGGUUUCUUCUUAUCCAAUUGGUUGGACAGAAGAUGUUCCCAGGCGAUUAAGCAAAACAAUCAAGGCAAUUUUUUAAUUUCUACUUUAUAAUUAAUUCGUACGUCUUGCUUACUUGGGACGGCUGAUUGUGAUUGGCAACAUUAAGCCCAGAAUAAUUGGCUUGGUAAUCAUUUGUCGCCGGUCGGUUGAUUCCGUUUCCUCCUUGAUUAGCUGUUUGGAUAUUGGAUAAUUUUAAUACAUGGAAAGAGACAAAGAGAAGAGUUUUUUUUCCCAAUGGAAAAAAUUGUUUUUGGAUAACAAUCAAUAGAAAAAGAUUCUAUUAACAUCAAGUUAAACAUUUACAAUCCGCAACAAUAUAAUCACCAGGAAGGAAAUGAAGAAAGGAACCAAAAUUGGCUGAUUCUCUUUUUUGAAACUGUUGAUUGAAUUUCUACAGCAAUAAUUAGAAUAUUCUGAAUUCAACAAAAAAUUAACCAUUAGGAUGGACAAAGAGUAAAAUGUUUAAUUGUAUCAACAUCGAGCUAAUUGUGUUGGGAGAAAAAUUUUGUGGCAGUUUUUGAAAUCUCUCAGUGAUUGGGUUUUCUUUGAAGUGGAAAUUUUGUCUUUUUAAAUACAAUUUGAUGGAUUAAUUUUAUACUAAAAGCAUUAAUACAAUUAAUUGCAUUUUCAGAGGUUAUCCCCAAUCAUCAACGCAACAAUUUGUCAACCUUUUUUGAUCGAUUCUGAUAGAUUCCUGUUAAGAAAGAAGAGGAUAAAAGAAAAGGAAGAAGAAAAGAAAAGAGAAAACAAAUUGGAAACAAAAGGAUAAAUGCAAAUGGAAGAGAAGAAAAAGAAGAACAAAAAUAAAUCGAAUUUGGAAAGAAAAAUUAAGCAAAUCAAAAGAGACUGUUCAAUCUUAAUUGUAGUUUAAAAUGAGAGAGAAUGUAACAUCCAGGAAAAGAAGGUUUAAUCAAGACAAAGGAUUGGAAAUCGGUUAAUUGCUUGUGUGAUUACAAUCAAUGGUUAACAUGCAAAGUGUUGUCACAAUUAAAGUCUAAUUGUUGUGCAAGGGAAAAAGCAACAGCAGAAGCAGUUAAUGAUUAAUUUAAUCUCUCAAUCAUAUUGGAUAAGUGACAAAUUGCAUGUUGAUAAUUAAUUAUCUUAGUGUACAAUUAACAAGGUGCAUAAUUAUAAUUAAAUGUCUGUGCAAGAAAAUAAUGUGAACAUGACAAAAGCAGAAUUAACCUGAACAUGGAACAAUUAAAUAUCCAUCAGAAUCGGAAGUUAAUGGAUCCAAAUUGCAAUAUCGACAAUCAACCAAAUUGGAUCAUUAAUGUUACUCAAUUAUUAGCAAGCAAAAAAAUUCCCUGAUUGAUGAAUAUCUAUUUUCUUUAUUUGGAAAACUUAUCUUCCUUAUCUUCAUCCGCCUCUUCUUUAUAUCUAUAAAUUGUGAUUCUACUUAAUUAUCUAGAUUUCUAAUGUCAAAGAAAUGAUAUUAAUAGAGAAGAGAACGAAAAUCUCUCCUUAUUUUCCCUUCUAAUUCCCUAGAAAAGAUCAAAACUCUUGGAUUUGACUAUUGGCCUUUGAUUCCGUCUUCUUAUACACUUCACCUCUAAAUCUAUCCUCUAAUGGUCAAUUUUGAUGACUUUGAUGACUUUGAUGACGAUGAUGAUGAUUGGCGAUCCAUCGAAGAAAAAAAUUACGAUUUUUUGUUUGGGUUUUCUUAUUACCGUUAUAAUGGCUCAUAAAGCGCAAGAAUCAAGAAAUCAUUUGGAAAUUAAUCAGCAAAACAAAGCAGAUUUACAUGAUAAGUGAAUCUAAAUUGUGUGUAUAUGUGUGUGCGUUGAUUUAAUAGUUAAUUACAUCAGUCAUUCUAUGAAAUUGACCAUCAUCAAUUAUAUCCUGAUCAUUUAUUCACUAACAUCAACAUUUUGAUUAUUCCUCUCAUCUAAUCAACCAUAAUCUUGAAUCGUUUAUUUUUUUCCCUUUACUUUUCCACCAUUGAAAGGUCAAGUUAAUUAAUUAACAACAAUCAAUAUACUUGAAAUUGACUGAUGAUGUUAGCACAAUCAACUACCACUAACAACAAUUUCACAUCACCAUGAUUGAUGACAAUUAAGAUUAGAAUGACUGAUUUAAUAGCAAGAGUAUGAAACAAAAAAUUAAGAUAAUCUUAAACUGUAAUUAAGGGAAUACAAUUUAUUAUGAUGAGCAUUGUUUCAAUCUAAUUGCUUCAAUUUUAACCCUUAAUUACAAUAUUAUGAUUACCUGAUUGAUUUUGUAUUGUGCUGGUUAGAAAAUGUUUAUCUAAAUAGUACAUGGCCUGGUAAUGAAUUUAAAAGCCUCGAUCAUUUAUCAACAAUCAAUGUCAACCGAUAAUCAAUCAAGAAUCAAAGUGAAUACAAAAGUAACAAAAAACCCAAAAACUAACCAUUAACAUGAAACAUGAUAAAUCAACAAUCCAUCAGAGUAUUUGAUUUCAUCCUAUUGUCAGAAUUGAAUGGUUAUCAUGAAAAUGAACAUGAGAAAAUUUAUCCACUAAGUAAUUUGAAAUGUUAAUCAACUAAAUUGAUUAUCAUCUCAUUGAAAGUAAUUGUUGAAAACUUUUCCCCAAACUGAUUGAUUAUUAUUCAACAUUGAACAUUAUUUUGACUUCUAAAUGAUUAUCGGUCAACUCGAUUAACCUUAUCGCUUAUAAUUUAAUAUCUCAUUGAUUUAGAAAUUAGUUUAUUGAUAGUCUCUAAUUGUUAUUA
Panonychus citri (citrus red mite) is the source of this 3403-nucleotide long non-coding RNA. RefSeq lists it as uncharacterized. The record is from RefSeq and is a predicted model, not a curated record. Lineage: Eukaryota; Metazoa; Arthropoda; Arachnida; Trombidiformes; Tetranychidae. The transcript is spliced from 6 exons.